RNAcentral lists this signal recognition particle RNA (296 nucleotides) under Cebus imitator (Panamanian white-faced capuchin). Its description in RNAcentral is "Metazoan signal recognition particle RNA (ENSCCAG00000014122.1)". It matches the Rfam family "Metazoan signal recognition particle RNA". From Rfam's summary of the family: The signal recognition particle (SRP) is a universally conserved ribonucleoprotein. It is involved in the co-translational targeting of proteins to membranes. Lineage: Eukaryota; Metazoa; Chordata; Mammalia; Primates; Cebidae. The record is from RNAcentral.
GCCAGGCAUAGUGGUGCAUGCCUGUAGUCCCAGCUACUCGGGAGGCUGAGGUGGGAGGACCACUUGAGCUCAGUUCUGAGCUGUGGUGCGCUAUGCCAAUCGGGCAUCCACAGUUCAGCAUCAAUGUGGUGACCUCCUGGGAGUGGAGGACGGGACCACCAGGUUGUCUAAGGAGGGGUCAACUGGCCCAGGUUGGAAACAGAGCAGGUCAAAGCCCCGUGCUGAUCAGUAGUGGGAUCGCACCUAUGAAUAGCCACUGCACUCCAGCCUAAGCAACAUAGUGAGACCCCGUCUCA